RNAcentral lists this ribosomal RNA (525 nucleotides) under Triticum aestivum (bread wheat). Its description in RNAcentral is "partial small subunit ribosomal RNA". The record is from RNAcentral. Lineage: Eukaryota; Viridiplantae; Streptophyta; Magnoliopsida; Poales; Poaceae.
AUGCAUGCAGGCAUAGAGGAGGUCUUUCCGUUGGCAGUGCACAGGCACUGUAGGUGGCACAUUAUAAAGAAGGCUGAGGAGACGCUAGGACCGUUCUUUGCUGAUCGUCCAGAGCUGCACAAGGCAUUCGAGCUGUGCAUGGACCAUAGCUUAACGGUGGAGGAGUUUGAAAGGAGCUGGAUGGCUAUGAUUGAAACACAUCAAGUCCAAGACAACGAGACGCUUGCUAGCCUAUGGGAGAAGCGAAUGUACUGGGUGCCGGCCUACUUCAUGCAGUGCUUCUUCCCGUUUCUGCAGACUACGCAGCGCAGCGAGGGGUUCAAUGUUGUUUUGAAGUGGUACGUGAGCCCUGGCAACUCAUUGCUACAGUUUGCCAAGCAAUACGCCGCUUUGCAACAAAAAAUACUAGGAUCUGAGCUACAACAAGAAGCGAACACUGCGCUAAAGCAGCCAAAAUUGCUAACCUAUUUACCGAAGGAGAGGCAGAUGAGCAAGAUAUACACCAACAAGAUCUUUAACAAGUAA